Molecule: ribosomal RNA, 581 nt
Filed under: Duvalius cailloli
Lineage: Eukaryota; Metazoa; Arthropoda; Insecta; Coleoptera; Carabidae
Description: partial 16S ribosomal RNA
Rfam family: Bacterial large subunit ribosomal RNA (bases 340-498)
Source: RNAcentral
AAUGGCUGCAGUAAUAUAACUGUACAAAGGUAGCAUAAUCAUUAGUUUUUUAAUUAAAAGCUUGUAUGAAAGGUUGGACGAAGUAGAAUCUGUCUCUUUUUAAUAUGAUUAGAAUUUAAUUUUUAAGUAAAAAAGCUUAAAUUUAUAUAAAAGACGAGAAGACCCUAUAGAGUUUAAUAAUUUAUUUUAAAUAAUUAAUUUAGAUUUAUUUAUUUUAUUUAUUAUAUAAUUAUUUUAUUGGGGUAAUAAAAAGAUUAAUAUAAUUCUUUUUUUUAUAUAACAUUAAUAUAUGAAUUAAAUGAUCCAUUUUUUAUGAUUAAAAGAUUAAAUUACCUUAGGGAUAACAGCGUAAUUUUUUUAAAGAGUUCAUAUCGAUAAAAAAGUUUGCGACCUCGAUGUUGGAUUAAAGAUUAAUUUAGGUGUAGAAGUUUAAAUUUUUGGUCUGUUCGACCAUUAAAUCUUUACAUGAUCUGAGUUCAAACCGGUGUAAGCCAGGUUGGUUUCUAUCUUUAUAAAAUUUUUAUAUUUUAGUACGAAAGGACCAAAUAUUUAAUAUAUAAAUAUUUAAUUAUUUUGAAUAU